Molecule: non-coding RNA, 86 nt
Organism: Nematostella vectensis (starlet sea anemone)
Lineage: Eukaryota; Metazoa; Cnidaria; Anthozoa; Actiniaria; Edwardsiidae
Source: Rfam
CCUUCGAUAGCUCAGUUGGUAGAGCGGGGGACUGUAGAUUUGUAAUUGUGAUCCCUAGGUCGCUGGUUCGAAUCCGGCUCGAAGGA